GUCUACGGCCAUGCCACCCUGAAUGCGCCCAAUCUCUUCUGAUCUUGGAAGCUAAGCAAGGUACCUCAGACCUGGUUAGUGCUUGGUUGGGAGAUCCCCCAUUACUUUUUCUGUAGAUU
Ribosomal RNA from Chlorocebus sabaeus (green monkey), 119 nucleotides. Lineage: Eukaryota; Metazoa; Chordata; Mammalia; Primates; Cercopithecidae. The record is from Ensembl.